UUUUCGGUGGGUUGAUGAGUGACCCAGUAAAACGAAAAACUGCAAAGCCAGAGGGCGUCUCAAACAGAAGCAGCAUGUAUGGGCUAAACGGAAAAAGGUCGGCUGCAAACAAGAAGUUAUUAGCAAACUCAGGCAAGUAGUAUAUCUGUAUAUGAUCACCAAGAAAAGAAAUCAGAUCGUGUUUUUAACUUGAACUCAGGUGUCCGAAUGCUUUAAACGACACGCAAAUGUUUUAUUAACAUGACCACGUACGAACCGCCGAUCUGUGCUGUAACCAAGCACACGAAACCAUGGGCGUCCGGAUCUGUGGAUUCGGAUCCAAAUUGGGUUCGUGAAGGGUUCCCUCUCGCAUUUUUCUACUGAAAGUUUCCCUGCCGAGGGAAUGGGAUUGAGAGACGAGGAUGACGGCGGGCACCUGUAUAGGGUCUCGACGGAGCAGUAGCGCGGCCGUGUCGCCUCUUCAUCGCCGGAGGAGAGGAGGUUUUUUUCUUUGAAAUUGCGGAGGCGAGGAGGUUGAGGAGG
Molecule: long non-coding RNA, 522 nt
Filed under: Hordeum vulgare
Lineage: Eukaryota; Viridiplantae; Streptophyta; Magnoliopsida; Poales; Poaceae
Description: long non-coding RNA (HVUL_LNC020440)
Source: RNAcentral